GAGGAGGGGCGGAUGUAGCCAAUUGGAUCAAGGCAGUGGAUUGUGA
Molecule: transfer RNA, 46 nt
Filed under: Illicium henryi
Lineage: Eukaryota; Viridiplantae; Streptophyta; Magnoliopsida; Austrobaileyales; Schisandraceae
Description: partial tRNA-His
Source: RNAcentral